This 252-nucleotide ribosomal RNA is filed under the name uncultured bacterium. RNAcentral's name for it is "partial 16S ribosomal RNA". It matches the Rfam family "Bacterial small subunit ribosomal RNA", at positions 524 to 776 of the family's 1533-position model. The record is from RNAcentral.
UACGUAUGGGGCAAGCGUUAUCCGGAUUUACUGGGUUUAAAGGGUGCGUAGGCGGGAUGCCAAGUCAGCGGUAAAAAUGCGGUGCUCAACGCCGUCGAGCCGUUGAAACUGGCGUUCUUGAGUGGGCGAGAAGUAUGCGGAAUGCGUGGUGUAGCGGUGAAAUGCAUAGAUAUCACGCAGAACUCCGAUUGCGAAGGCAGCAUACCGGCGCCCUACUGACGCUGAGGCACGAAAGCGUGGGUAUCGAACAGG